GGGCGGUUGGCGCAGUUGGUUAGCGCGUUUGCUUGACAUGCAAAAGGUCACAGGUUCGAAUCCUGUACCGCCCACCA
This 77-nucleotide transfer RNA is filed under the name Candidatus Omnitrophota bacterium. Its description in RNAcentral is "Candidatus Omnitrophica bacterium tRNA-Val". It matches the Rfam family "tRNA". Rfam says of the family: Transfer RNA (tRNA) molecules are approximately 80 nucleotides in length. Their secondary structure includes four short double-helical elements and three loops (D, anti-codon, and T loops). The record is from RNAcentral. Lineage: Bacteria; Pseudomonadati; Candidatus Omnitrophota.